UACAGAGGGUGCUAGCGUUGUUCGGAAUUAUUGGGCGUAAAGGGCGCGUAGGCGGCCUCGCAUGUCGAAUGUGAAAGCCCACCUCUUAAAGGUGGAAUUGCAUUCGAAACUGCAAGGCUGGAGUGCCGGAGAGGGUGGUGGAAUUCCUGGUGUAGAGGUGAAAUUCGUAGAUAUCAGGAGGAACACCGGUGGCGAAGGCGGCCACCUGGACGGUAACUGACGCUGAGGCGCGAAAGCGUGGGGAGCAAACAGG
This 253-nucleotide ribosomal RNA is filed under the name uncultured bacterium. Its description in RNAcentral is "partial 16S ribosomal RNA". It matches the Rfam family "Bacterial small subunit ribosomal RNA", at positions 524 to 776 of the family's 1533-position model. The record is from RNAcentral.